Molecule: ribosomal RNA, 497 nt
Filed under: uncultured bacterium
Lineage: Bacteria
Description: partial 16S ribosomal RNA
Rfam family: Bacterial small subunit ribosomal RNA
Source: RNAcentral
GAUGAACGCUGGCGGCGUGCCUAAUACAUGCAAGUCGAGCGAACAGACGAGGAGCUUGCUACACUGACGUUAGCGGCGGACGGGAGAGUAACAUGUGGAUCACCCACCUAUAAGACUGGGAUAACUUCGGGAAACCGGAGCUAAUUCCGGAUAAUAUAUUGAACCGCAUGGUUCAAUAGCGAAAGCCGGUUUUGCUGUACUUUCUAGAUGGAUCCGCGCCGCUUGAGCUAGUUGGUAAGGUAACGGCUUGCCGGGGCGACCAUGCGUAGCCGACCUGGGAGGGGGUACGGGGACACAGGAGCUGAGAGGCGGUACAGAGUCUUACGGAAGGCCGAGAGAGGGAAGCGUGCGAGAAGGGCGAAAGCCUGACGGAGCAGCGCCGCGUGAAUGAUGAAGGUCCUCGUGCGGUAAAACUGUGUUAUGAUUGAAGAACGAAUGUGUAAGGAACUAUGCACGUCGUGACGGUACCUGCUCAGGAAGCCACGGCUAACUACGUG